UAAAACACAUGUUCAUUAAUACAGGAAAACAUUAUAAUAAAUGGAAUUAAGGGAAAUUAAAAGAAAUAUGUAUAGUGAAACGAAUUAUGCUUAGAAGAAUAAAGGACAAUUGUUCUACAACUCCACACUCUCUCUCCCUGAACUCAUUUAGUUUCUUGAGUCGACUUCUCCUCUUUGUUUUUUCGAUUUCUUUUCUUCCCUUAGCUUCAACGGCAAGGGGCAACGGCUUGCGGUGGCGCCGUUGUCCUUUUCCACCAACAACCCACCUCACAAACAUAAAAUCUCAUGAAGUGAUCCUAAACUUAUUUCACCCCCCACCAUACGGAUCUAUACAUACCUUGUUUAAAUCAUUACCAAAGGUUCAAAAAUGAAAACCCUGACUUCAAACGCUUUCACUUUAAACCACACAAAUCUAUUCCCAAAACUAUCCACUAAAUCGCGUCAACAUUCAACACACAAUAAACAAGAAAUCAUUCGCACAGGAAGAAUCCACAUGGUAAAACAAUGGUCGACGCUCAGUUUGAAAGUGCAGGGUAAAAAUCAGUUUUCAAUAAUUGAUUAUCAUCCUCACAUGUCUGUACUAAGUUACAGAGUAAAAGGAAACGGAAUCAUCCUGAUGCUUACCGGAUAUGCAGAUUCGAAGGCGAUUGUGGUCCUUGAUCCAGGUGUCAUCAAUGAGCUGGAAAAUCUUGCAUCAUAUCAAGUCGUUAGAGGGAAUUUCCGCUGGAUUUCGUGGGGACCAAAGGUCCUUGUUGCUGCUGACGCAUUGCAGGGUGUUGUUACAAUCAUGAUGUGUUUUGGUUAGUAGUUGCAGCGCUUGUAUCCUGAUUUUACAGCAAGGUUACGUGGUGGUAUGCACGUGUUGGCAAGGUUUGGAGGAUUGUGUAGUUUAAACCAACAUAUUGUUGUAUUGAACAUGUACAUGGCUUUAGAGUUUUCAUAACACUCUUGUAUUUAGUUCUGGUAUGAGCAAGAGGCCAUUUAUGGUUUUGAUCAUGUCCCGGGGAUAUACUUAUGGCAUCCAUCAUAUUUUGGAUUUGGUGCAACAGAGAUCAAUUAUUUUACAUAUGUACUUAGGUCGUAGUUUUUGGUCGUGGCGGCGUAGCCCGAAUGUUGCUUGUAGGCUUUGGCACUGCAGUUUUGAUUUACAGCUCAAAGGUGUCCCAUCAUGAUUCCAACGGUUUUGCACACAACACUGGUUUUGCUUACGUUAAACCAAUAUGGCGACGCCAUUGACCGUCCUUAUUUCACAGCUUUCAUUGGAUAGUUUAGGAUUUUUCUUUUUGAAACUUUGUGAAAUGUUAUGAUCCAUAUUUGUAGUGAGUAUUAUUCAUGAAAUGGAAUUGAGUCAUGCUUGUAUUGAAAUUGUAACCUAAGUUUCUCUGAACAAUCAUUUAAUUUGAAGAUUUAUGAUGGAGUUGCUAGCUUAA
Molecule: RNA transcript, 1430 nt
Organism: Lathyrus oleraceus (garden pea)
Lineage: Eukaryota; Viridiplantae; Streptophyta; Magnoliopsida; Fabales; Fabaceae
Exons: 4
Source: RefSeq, a predicted model, not a curated record